This is a non-coding RNA of Cherax quadricarinatus, 2412 nucleotides long. Lineage: Eukaryota; Metazoa; Arthropoda; Malacostraca; Decapoda; Parastacidae. The record is from RefSeq and is a predicted model, not a curated record.
AUCAGCUUGAGGAUGGUCGUCAACCCGCAAUGCUGUAAAUUAACAAGAAGGUUUUUAUAUACAUAUACAGAGGUGCGUAGUUGCGUGUUUCUCAACGUUUACACCGAGAUGUAUGUCUGCAUGUACAUUGAGAGAUGUGAAUAUUUGUAUAUAUAAUGAAAAAUGUAUAUCUCUGAAUGCUUAUACAGAAUGAGGAAUAUAUUUAAGUUGUACAAGAGGCGUGUAUCUUAGUAUUCAUAUACAGAAUUUACUUUUAUUCUCAUUUCAAAAGUUAAAAGCAUUCUUGACUGGAGAUACACAGGUGACACAGCCUUAAUGAACCUUUGUAGUUACCAGGCUAUAUAUAAAUCAAAUAACCCAACAAUCCAACUAACAAACAAGGAUACCUAGAUCGCAUAAGCAUUGAAUUCAGUUAUGCGUGUGCCAACACCGCAUUCUCGCCUCGAUGUAUGUAACCUCUGCCUCUUCAGCAUGGUUAUGCGUGUACCUCUGGAGUUAAUGAGGCAAGUGUGUCCUUGGGAGUUGCCGUUGUAACCAAUGUACAUAGCAUCGCCUGGUGUCAGAUGUUAAUAUUGAAACGGUAAUAGUAAUUAGUAAUGCUAGUGCUUACAACAGCGUUUGUUCAGAAUUUCUUGUUCAUGGAAACUCAAAUGUUCAACAGUUGUGCUGAUAAAAAUACCGUUGAUAAAUAAUGGUCAAGAAAAGUGUUGCUAAUAAGUGUUGCUAGAAACUCGUGCUAAUAAGUGUUGAUAAAGAUAUUGUUAAGGAAAGUGUGUGUUGCUUGAAAAAAGUUGAUAAAAUUAUUGGUAACUAAUUUUAAGUGUUGCUGACAAGUAAAUGUUCAUGUCAUGAAUGUUCAUGACCAAUGUUGAGGUCAGGUUAUAAUUUAGUAGGAGUUUCCUUCGUUACACCUGAUUAAGUUCGGAGAAGUUGGUGGGCCCCAGAGCCACCUGGACCCUGGCACCACCUGGACAUUGGCACCAUCUGGCCCACCACCACCUGGCUACGCAAGUCAUCCACGCAUAAUCUACCGUCAUGGGAAGCACACUGUGUAACAAUGGAGAUGCUGCACUCGUAAUCUGCUGUGGUUUCAGCACACUUCUGGAAAGACGGCGAUUGAAUGAUGGCGAAUGUGUUUUUUUUCCUUGGGUCACCCUGCCUUGGAGAUGAAAUAGAAAAAUGCAGGAUUUAUGCAGAAAGUAAGUGAAAGCUAACUCAUCGCGGGACAGUUGGCUCACCAUCAGGAAGGUAGUCGCCCUGUUUCGAUAGACGUGUUGAAGAUUGUUGCUAGUGGUACACACAGCGCCUCUACUCCCUCUAAAAGGACCCAUGGAGAGAUAUCCGGCCCCAUCGCCUUUGAGGUAUCCAGCUCGCUUAGCAGCCUCUUCACUUCUACCUCGGUUAUGUAUUGUCCAAAAUUUCAUGGUGUACCCCCACCUCUUCAACUUUCCGGAGUCCCUUCUGUCUCCUCUGUGAAUACUUCUAUGAAAUUCAUGUUGAGCUCCUCACAUACUUCGCGGUCGUUUCUUGUGAUCUCCCCUCCUUUCUCAGCCUGAUUACGUAGUCCUUGGCUGUUACUUUUCUCCUGAUAUGGCUGUACAACAUUUUCAGGUCAGAUUUGCCUUUCGCUGUUAUGUUAUUUUCGUAUUGUCGUUGGGAUUCCCUUCAAACCUGUGCAUAUUUACUUCUGGUUCUACGACUGCUCUCCUUAUUCUCCUGGGUCCUUUGCCUUGUGUACUUUUAUUCCGUGUGUGUUGUGUGUGUGUGUGUGUGUGUGUGUGUGUGUGUGUGUGUGUUUGUAGCAUAUUACAUAUUGUAAGAAGUACAGAGACUGAGUCAUAACUGAUUACUACAGAAUAUUUGCCUUAUGAAAAGUUUCCUAUGCAAAGUGUUUCUUUACAUAGCCAUUAUAAACUGUUCACUGCAUAGUCCUUCAUCCAUCCAUAAAUAUUUGACACUUUAUUAAAGUGUUCUGAGUAAUAUCAGAACGACAGAGCACAAUGUUACUGACAUCUGAUGUCAUAGUUAAUUAACACUUUCUAGCAUUACUCAAGUAUUCAUCAUUUAUUUUUCUGAAUCACUUCAGAAUACUUAACUCAGAAAAAAAAUGAUCUUCAUUACUUUAAGAUGUUUAGUUUUUUUUUUUUAUCCCCGAGAAUUUUGUUAUUUUUGAGGUGGUGAAUCAGUGAAAAUGUGAAAAACUAAAUACGACUUAUUCAUUUGUACAAUUACAGAUUUUACAGGUUAAUGUUCAACUUUCACGAUGAAUUUUAAGAGUACCUUACCUGGCUUAUCUACAAGUUCCUCACAUUUGUCACUUCACAUAUUCAAAUCUUUCACAAAAGAUGUCACUGAAAUAUUGUAAAUUAACAUUCUCAGCAGAGGACUGAAAAGGACACUGGCUGGCGAAAA